Molecule: long non-coding RNA, 2650 nt
Organism: Anolis carolinensis (green anole)
Lineage: Eukaryota; Metazoa; Chordata; Lepidosauria; Squamata; Anolidae
Source: Ensembl
AAUCCAGACAAAACAGAGGUGCUUGCCAUCAAGGAUUCUAAUCUGGGAAUAGAGGUGUAUCAACCAGUUCUGGAUCGGGUUACACUCCCCCUGAAAGACUGUGUUCAUAGUUAUAUAUGUUAUAUAUAUCUUUUAUAGGUCUACAUUUUAAUAUGUGUGUUUUUAGAAUAUUUGCAAUAUUUUUGUGUUUUGACUGUGCUGAGACCCACCUCGAGACAUGAGGAGAGGCAGAUAAAAAUUAAAACUAUUAUUAUAUUAUUAUUAUUACUGGGAAUAAGUAUUUGUGUUUCAAUGUGUAGUUUGAGAACUAGUUAUGCAUUCAAUUUUGUUGAAGCUAAUUCGUUGCAGCAGGUCAACAUUGGGGUAGGACACUAUCUGAGGAACUCAUGGCUCAUGUAUUGCAUUCUACAACAGAGGGAUAAUGAGACAACAAUACACUAAAUAAAUAAAUCUAGAGCUGUAGUGUAACAUCAAUUUAUUUUUUUUCUUUUCUACAGUCAGAAUGUGCAUUUACACUACAGAAUUAACACAGUUUGGCACCACUUUCAUUGUCAUGGCUCAAUGCUGUGGAGUCAUGGACGUAGUCUGCCGAGGCACCAGCACCCUUUGGAUGGCUCUCUCGCAGUUAACUUCUGGCACUGGAAUAAGUCUGAAAAUGCCCUCCUGUUCACUUCACGCUCAUCACCCGAGGUGUGGAAAGCAAGGGCAAGUGCAAGUGGACUGAAAUGUCUCCACUGAGGACUAUAAUUUGAAGAUUAUGUCAAUUUAAGAAGCUUGAUACCCUGAAUAGUAAAAUGGAAAUCCCCCAAUUGACUAUCUCUGCUCAUAAAAAUGAUUUAGAUUGGUCGUUUCUACACAUGCUUUUUGGCUUGACUGUCAGAAUCAAUUAAUGUGAUAAAUAAUACAUUUAAAGUCCACUCCCCCUCUUGCCAACCAAACGUUAGAAUUUUCCAUUCACAAUUGAGAAAAAAAUGCAUCCCAUCAAAUAUUAGUCUUUCAGCCUCGGAGUUUAUGAGCUCUUUAAUAAUAAGAAAGAAGAACUGAUAAGUAGACUAAAAGUCAAGACUUACUGGAACACUCCUUGCUUUAGGCUUAGAUUUCAGAGAAGCCAUUUUGCCCAUUGUAAUCCCAGUGGUCAAAUAUUUGUCAGAGCUUUUGACAGUUUUGGGUUAACCAUGGAAUCCAGCAGCAAAGACAGACACAGCAGUUUAUUCAGUAGAUUGCCAGACAAGAGAUACAAAAGGUUAGCAAAGCGACACCAUCACCUCAUGUAAAGGAGCAUAGACAUUUGGCAUAAGGAGAACCAGAACAUGGGGGCAGGCAGACCAUCAGAAGCAAGUGAAACUGUUGCCAGAUUGGGCCCAGAGCCAAAUAUUUUUGGCUAGGUUUUUCUGUCCUUCUCUAUUAGUCCAGGCUGGAUAAAUUAACAGAAAGUGGAAUAAAGCUGGUGCACUUCUUGAAGUCCCCAGGAAGAAGGGCUUCUGGCAACUCUAUAUCCUACCUCAGUGCAUGUGGAAUUUAACUCCUGUAUCCCUACAUAUAAUAUCCAUUGGUUCCUGGAGUGCUAAAAGCGAGAAAGGAGGGAAAUAGUUAUUGCAGACAUUCCUAGCUCAGCCCUACUAAACUCCCAUUGUAGAUUGCAGUACUUUUACAGGCAUGGGGGAGUGAGAAGGAGCCAAAUAAUUUAUCUAAAGGAGUUCAUUGUUUGAAUGAAGUAAAAUUUCAUAGAUUUUAUUUCAGUUUGAAAACACCACUCAAUGUUUUUCACCCUCUGAUAUAUAUUUGUGAUCCUGGCAAUGGCAGCAAUUGCUGAAGAGAUCUACCUUUUAAAAGGGGUAUUAAAAAAGUACAGGAAGCAUUUCCCCUUACUCUGAACUGACUGUAACAGUCACCAAAUUUCAUUGGCUUCAUUUUGAAUACAAAUCAGAGAGAAGACAAUGCUUCUACCUGACAAUGAUUGCCCCCACCCCAGCCCAUCAUCACUGCAGUUAGAUAUAGGCAGGCCUUGAGUUAUAAACAUCUGACUUAUACAUGACUCAUACUUAAGAAUGGGGGUGAGACAACAAGAAGUGACAGAGAUCUAUCCCCAGGAAGGGAAAUUCACUACUAAGAGAGUUAUCAUGGGGAAAAGGUGUCUCUACUGAAGCUUUCUCACCAAUCCUGGUUUCCACAACAAGCUACAUUUUUCAAAAUCCAGUUAUCACAUAAAUAAAAAGUGCAAUGAAAUCUUCUGAACAGGGGCACAGACAGCAAAACAAAUGCCAAAGGUGUGUUAACCUUUUCCUUGCUAUCCAAAGCUAACACAUAUACAUAUUUGGCUGGUGUUGCAUUUUAAAAAUGUACCUGUUCCGACUUACAAAUUCAACUUAAGAACAAAUUUACACAACCUAUCUUGUUCAUUACUUGGGGACUGCCUGUAAAUGAAACAAGACAGAUUCCAAAAUCAUGACUGUCUUCACUUAGUUUUAGAUUCACAAUUGUUUUCAUCAAAUCAAGCCAAACUUCUUCUGACUGAAAUAUAUGACAACAACAUAAUUAAGGCAAGCAAAUACAUUUACAGAUAGUGCAUACUGUAACAAAGAAACAAUGUAUUUCAGUCAGAUAUAUAUUUUUUUCUUACUGUCCACAGGUGGGAUCCAUCUGGACAAGC